UGCGGUGCGGCAGCUUACACAUGCAAGUCGAGCGCACUCUUCGGAGUGAGCGGCGGACGGGUUAGUAACGCGUGGGAACGUGCCCUUCUCUAAGGAAUAGCCACUGGAAACGGUGAGUAAUACCUUAUACGCCCUUCGGGGGAAAGAUUUAUCGGAGAAGGAUCGGCCCGCGUUAGAUUAGAUAGUUGGUGGGGUAAUGGCCUACCAAGUCUACGAUCUAUAGCUGGUUUUAGAGGAUGAUCAGCAACACUGGGACUGAGACACGGCCCAGACUCCUACGGGAGGCAGCAGUGGGGAAUCUUGGACAAUGGGCGCAAGCCUGAUCCAGCCAUGCCGCGUGAGUGAUGAAGGCCUUAGGGUCGUAAAGCUCUUUCGCCAGAGAUGAUAAUGACAGUAUCUGGUAAAGAAACCCCGGCUAACUCCGUGCCAGCAGCCGCGGUAAUACGGAGGGGGUUAGCGUUGUUCGGAAUUACUGGGCGUAAAGCGCACGUAGGCGGAUCAGAAAGUAUAGGGUGAAAUCCCAGGGCUCAACCCUGGAACUGCCUUGUAAACUCCUGGUCUUGAGUUCGAGAGAGGUGAGUGGAAUUCCGAGUGUAGAGGUGAAAUUCGUAGAUAUUCGGAGGAACACCAGUGGCGAAGGCGGCUCACUGGCUCGAUACUGACGCUGAGGUGCGAAAGUGUGGGGAGCAAACAGGAUUAGAUACCCUGGU
RNAcentral lists this ribosomal RNA (710 nucleotides) under Phaeobacter sp. Its description in RNAcentral is "bacterial SSU rRNA". It matches the Rfam family "Bacterial small subunit ribosomal RNA", at positions 38 to 791 of the family's 1533-position model. Lineage: Bacteria; Pseudomonadati; Pseudomonadota; Alphaproteobacteria; Rhodobacterales; Roseobacteraceae. The record is from RNAcentral.